GGAUUGUGGCUCAAUGGCAGAGUGCUUGCCUCACAUGUGUGAGGCACUGGGUUCAAUCCUCAGCACCA
Molecule: transfer RNA, 68 nt
Filed under: Marmota monax (woodchuck)
Lineage: Eukaryota; Metazoa; Chordata; Mammalia; Rodentia; Sciuridae
Description: tRNA.Val
Source: RNAcentral